This 497-nucleotide ribosomal RNA is filed under the name uncultured bacterium. RNAcentral's name for it is "partial 16S ribosomal RNA". It matches the Rfam family "Bacterial small subunit ribosomal RNA", at positions 28 to 507 of the family's 1533-position model. The record is from RNAcentral.
GAUGAACGCUGGCGGCGUGCCUAAUACAUGCCAGUCGAGCGAACGGACGAGAAGCUUGCUUCUCUGAUGUUAGCGGCGGACGGGUGAGUAACACGUGGAUAACCUACCUAUAAGACUGGGAUAACUUCGGGAAACCGGAGCUAAUACCGGAUAAUAUUUUGAACCGCAUGGUUCAAAAGUGAAAGACGGUCUUGCUGUCACUUAUAGAUGGAUCCGCGCUGCAUUAGCUAGUUGGUAAGGUAACGGCUUACCAAGGCAACGAUGCAUAGCCGACCUGAGAGGGUGAUCGGCCACACUAGACCUAAGACACGGUCCAGACUCCUACGGGAGGCAGCAGUAGGGAAUCUUCCGCAAUGGGCGCAAGCCUGACGGAGCAACGCCGCGUGAGUGAUGAAGGUCUUCGGAUCGUAAACCUCUGUUAUUAGGGAAGAACAUAUGUGUAAGUAACUGUGCACAUCUUGACGGUACCUAAUCAGAAAGCUACGGCUAACUACGUG